This 71-nucleotide transfer RNA is filed under the name Seriola lalandi (yellowtail amberjack). RNAcentral describes it as "tRNA-Ser". It matches the Rfam family "tRNA". From Rfam's summary of the family: Transfer RNA (tRNA) molecules are approximately 80 nucleotides in length. Their secondary structure includes four short double-helical elements and three loops (D, anti-codon, and T loops). Lineage: Eukaryota; Metazoa; Chordata; Actinopteri; Carangiformes; Carangidae. The record is from RNAcentral.
AAGAAAGUGGCAGAGCGGUUAUGUGGUUGGCUUGAAACCAACUGAUGGGGGUUCAACUCCCCCCUUUCUCG